GAGAAAGUAAGCAAGGGCAGACGGUGGAUGCCUUGGCUCUCGGAGGCGACGAAGGACGUGAUAAGCUGCGAAAAGCCCGGGGGAGGCGCAAAUAGCCGUUGAUCCCGGGAUAUCCGAAUGGGGCAACCCGGCAGGCUGAAGGCCUGUCAUCCCGAAAGGGAGGCGAACGUGGGGAACUGAAACAUCUAAGUACCCAUAGGAGGAGAAAAUAAACAAUGAUUCCGUAAGUAGUGGCGAGCGAACACGGAAGAGCCCAAACCCAUGUCGUCUAGGCGACACGGGGGUUGUAGGACCACGACGUGGCAAGAAGGAAGGGAAAUGGAACGCCUUGGAAAAGUCGGCCAUAGACGGUGAAAGCCCGGUACAUGACUCCCUUACGAAGCCUAGUGGUAUCCUGAGUAGCGCGGGGCACGAGAAAUCUUGCGUGAAGCAGCGGGGCCCAUCCCGUAAGGCUAAAUACUCCCGAGAGACCGAUAGCGAACCAGUACCGUGAGGGAAAGGUGAAAAGAACCCCGAGCAGGGGAGUGAAAUAGACCCUGAACCCGUCUGCCUACAAGCGGUCGGAGCGUCGUAAUGACGUGACGGCGUGCCUUUUGCAUAAUGAACCUACGAGUUACCUUCCCCGGCAAGGUUAAGUACCUAAGGUACGGAGCCGAAGCGAAAGCGAGUCUGAACAGGGCGCCAAGUCGGGGGGGGUAGACGCGAAACCGAGUGAUCUACCCUUGGCCAGGUUGAAGGUUGGGUAACACCAACUGGAGGACCGGAUGGGUAAGCGUUGAAAAGCUUUCCAAUGAGCUGAGGGUAGGGGUGAAAGGCUAAUCAAACUCGGAGAUAGCUCGUACUCCCCGAAAUGCAUUUAGGUGCAGCCUCUUUAUAGUAUAUCGUGAGGUAGAGCGACUGAUUGGAUGCGAGGGCUUCACCGCCUAUCAAGUCCAGAUAAACUCCGAAUGCGCGAUAUAUAUUUACAGGGAGUGAGGGCGCGGGUGCUAAGGUCCGUGUCCGAGAGGAGAAGAAUCCAGACCACCGGCUAAGGCCCCCAAAUGAUCGUUAAGUUGAACUAACGAGGUCGGAUCGCAGAGACAGCUAGGAUGUUGGCUUGGAAGCAGCCAUUCAUUUAAAGAGUGCGUAACAGCUCACUAGUCGAGCGAUCUGGCGUGGAUAAUAAUCGGGCAUAAACGAUCUGCCGAAGCCGUGGAUGUCGCAAGACAUGGUAGGGGAGCAUUCCAUGCCGCGUCGAAGAUGAGGGAUGACCCUUGUUGGAGCGCAUGGAAAAGCAAAUGUAGGUAUGAGUAACGAUAAGGGGGGCGAGAAACCCCCCCGCCGAAAGACCAAGGUUUCCUGAUCAACGCUAAUCGGAUCAGGGUGAGUCGGGACCUAAGGCAAAGCCGAACGGCGCCGCCGAUGGAAGAAUGGGUUAAUAUUCCCAUACUGCCUCAUGGAGUGACGUGGAGACGGAGAAGUGACAGUCCUGCCGGCUGACGGAAUAGCCGGUUGAAGGGUGUAGAUAUUGAUUCCCGUAGGCAAAUCCGCGGGGAGAGUCGAACCUGAGAGUAUACGGAGCGCUUGCGCAACGUAAUAUGGACGUAACCAUGCUCCCGAGAAAAUCCGCUAAACUUAUCCAUGCGGCACCCGUACCGUAAACGGACACACGUGGUCGGGUUGAGAAUACUGAGGCGCUCGAGUGAUUCACGGUUAAGGAACUAGGCAAAUUGACCCUGUAACUUCGGGAUAAAGGGUCCUCGUCGUAAGGCGAGGCGCAGAGAAUAGGUCCAGGCAACUGUUUAACAAAAACACAUGGCUGUGCUAAAUGGAAACAUGAUGUAUACAGCCUGACACCUGCCCGGUGCCGGAAGGUUAAGAGGAGAUGUCAUCGCGAGAGAAGCGUUGAAUUGAAGCCCCGGUAAACGGCGGCCGUAACUAUAACGGUCCUAAGGUAGCGAAAUUCCUUGUCGGGUAAGUUCC
RNAcentral lists this ribosomal RNA (1962 nucleotides) under Parabacteroides distasonis. Its description in RNAcentral is "partial 23S ribosomal RNA". It matches the Rfam family "Bacterial large subunit ribosomal RNA", at positions 1 to 1984 of the family's 2925-position model. The record is from RNAcentral. Lineage: Bacteria; Pseudomonadati; Bacteroidota; Bacteroidia; Bacteroidales; Tannerellaceae.